CAGUAGCCGCGGGAAUACGAAGGGUGCAAGCGUUAAUCGGAAUUACUGGGCGUAAAGCGUGCGUAGGCGGUGAGUUAAGUCUGCUGUGAAAUCCCCGGGCUCAACCUGGGAAUGGCAGUGGAUACUGGCUCGCUAGAGUGUGUCAGAGGAUGGUGGAAUUCCCGGUGUAGCGGUGAAAUGUGUAGAGAUCGGGAGGAACAUCAGUGGCGAAGGCGGCCAUCUGGGACAACAUUGACGCUGAGGCACGAAAGCGUGGGGAGCAAACAGGAUUAGAUACCCGUGUAGUCCCUGUCUCUUAUAC
Molecule: ribosomal RNA, 301 nt
Filed under: uncultured bacterium
Lineage: Bacteria
Description: partial 16S ribosomal RNA
Rfam family: Bacterial small subunit ribosomal RNA
Source: RNAcentral